GGGGCCUGCGGUGAUUGGCGGGCGGGCGGGGAGGUCGGAAGUACUUUGUUUUUUAUGCUAAUGAGGGAGUGGGGCUUGUCCGUAUUUACGUUGAGGCGGGAGCCGCCGCCCUUCAUUCACCCACAUGGUCCUUCGAGGUGCCGCCGCAGCCGCCCGACCUGCGCCUUCGCGCCACUUCGCGCCCUCGGGCGAGGCCGAGGGGGUGGGGACGCCCCCUGCCGCGCCGCCGCGGCUCGCGCCCCUCGCGAAGCCCCUCGGCGGGGCGGGCCGGCCGGCGGGCCGCACCCCCGGCCUGGGGCCUCGGGUCGUAGUAAAGCGGAGGCGGGUGGGGAGGCGGGAGCGAGAGCCCGCGGCGGGCGAGGCGAAGAUGGUGGCGGCUACUCCUCUUGUCAUACACGUGGACCUAACUUCACCAAAAGCUUUUCUAAGGAUACUUGCUGAGAAGGAAGUUUACCUGAAUGGGUAAGUGGAUUUUAAUUUUAUUUUGUUAACUUCUUUAAAAUAAAAAAAAAAAAAGUUUUUCUUGACUUAAUCUUCGAUUUGGAUAAAUAAGUGCGGUUGGGUUUACAAAGAGAGAAAUAGGUGUUUUGUACUCUUUCUAGACAAUUAACUUAGUAUAGGUCAGCUAACAUCUAAGUAAAAAUGCAAUGCAAAUAUGUUAUAAAUCUUUGCAAGCUGGUGCACAGUUUACAAAAUUUAGAACUAGUUAAAGUUGGGGUGACAAAAUAGAUGUAAUCUGGAGUAAGUUUUCAAGGCUUAAAAUAGUUUAAUUGGGACAUAAAACUUCUACAACCAGCUGAUAACACUUGAAAUGUAGUCUGAACUGUAAUUUUAUUAAUCAAUUUACCAAGUAAUUGCUAAUGGGAAGCCGGAAGAAAAGAAAAAUGUUUUGCCACGUGGAUGUGAAGAUUUCCUCUAAAAGGUAUAUGCAGUCUGGUUUUUUUUUUUCUUUUAAAGUAUGCAUUUGGGAGUGGCCAAGUCAAGAAAGCCACCAUUUUUUUCUUAAAGUAUUAGAAUAGGUAGGUAGUUAUGAUUGUCUUGUG
This 1043-nucleotide long non-coding RNA is filed under the name Sus scrofa (pig). RNAcentral's name for it is "lncRNA (ENSSSCG00060042565.1)". The record is from RNAcentral. Lineage: Eukaryota; Metazoa; Chordata; Mammalia; Artiodactyla; Suidae.